UUUCAAAGAGCAGCUAAAGAGAAGCGGCUAUACCUUGGAGGAGAGAGCAAAUAGAGAGACCUUGAAGGGAAUCUUCUAGGGCAGGGAAGAAGUAUCCGUUGACUCCAAGUACAAGAACAUACCAUGUCCAAAGCUGACCAGUUCUCUGGUGGUUACUGCUACUGAUCCAUCCAAACUGCUGGACUUGUCCUUCAUACCCAAGGUCUUCAGGCAGUAUCUAAUGGGAAGUCAACUCAAAAAGGAACCAGACCAUCAUUUCCUGGCCCCUUUAUUCUGGUGACUGAUGGAAGAGUGGGAGGGAAAUAUAUUUAAUGGUUGGAAAAACAUCAAAUUACUAUACCUCUUCAGUUUCUAUUCCUAUAGAAUUUUGCAACUAUGGUAUUUGGAUCGGUCAUUCAUAUACAUAUAUAAUAUAAUAUAUAUAUAUAUAUAUAUAUAUAUAUAUAUAUAUAUUAUAUUAUAUAUAUUAGGGGA
Molecule: long non-coding RNA, 474 nt
Filed under: Mus pahari (shrew mouse)
Lineage: Eukaryota; Metazoa; Chordata; Mammalia; Rodentia; Muridae
Description: predicted gene 15892 (MGP_PahariEiJ_G0004645.1)
Source: RNAcentral